UACGCAGGGGGCGAGCGUUGUUCGGAUUUACUGGGCGUAAAGGGCGCGUAGGCGGCCCUCUUUGUCGCGUGUGAAAGCCCCGGGCUCAACCUGGGAAUUGCGCGCGAAACGGGGGGGCUUGAGUUCGGGAGAGGAGCGUGGAAUUCCCAGUGUAGAGGUGAAAUUCGUAGAUAUUGGGAAGAACACCGGUGGCGAAGGCGGCGCUCUGGACCGAGACUGACGCUGAGGCGCGAAAGCGUGGGGAGCAAACAGG
Molecule: ribosomal RNA, 253 nt
Filed under: uncultured bacterium
Lineage: Bacteria
Description: partial 16S ribosomal RNA
Rfam family: Bacterial small subunit ribosomal RNA
Source: RNAcentral